GGUGUGUGUCUGAAUCUGGAGAAAACAGUAAUCCCGUCAACAUCACAGUGCAUGAUGGUGAUGUGAUCCUGGAGAGUCCUGUCCAUCCUGUGACUGAGGGACAUCCUCUGACUCUACGCUGUUUAUAUCACAACCCAAAUCCCUCAAACCUCCGAGCUGAUUUCUAUAAAGAUGGAUCAGUUCUCCAGAACCAGACUACAGGAGAGAUGAUCAUCCAAACUGUCUCAAAGUCAGAUGAAGGUUUCUACCACUGUGAACACCCAGAGAGAGGAGAGUCACUGAAAAGCUGGGUCUCAGUCAGACUCUCAGGUCCUCUAUCCAAUGAUGGAACAUUAGGACUGGUUGUUUGUUUGGGAUUUUUGUUCAUCGCUUUUCUGAUCUUAAUGAUGCUGCUGUGGUCCUACAAAAGAAAAAAAGGUCAGAUUAC
Molecule: long non-coding RNA, 427 nt
Organism: Tachysurus fulvidraco (yellow catfish)
Lineage: Eukaryota; Metazoa; Chordata; Actinopteri; Siluriformes; Bagridae
Exons: 3
Source: RefSeq, a predicted model, not a curated record